Long non-coding RNA from Synchiropus splendidus (mandarinfish), 649 nucleotides. RefSeq lists it as uncharacterized. The record is from RefSeq and is a predicted model, not a curated record. Lineage: Eukaryota; Metazoa; Chordata; Actinopteri; Syngnathiformes; Callionymidae. The transcript is spliced from 3 exons.
UGUCCGGCCGAACACGGUGGCCAAUGUGAGACACGCGUCACUCACCGACCCACUCUCCUGAUGUGACCCACACGAUGCGUCGGGUUGUCCCGUUAAUAACAACACAUGAGUGGCAAGAACGACUCACGUCACAAACCGUACACGGAGGGUCACUGGAUGUACUUCCGGGUUGAUCGACGGUGGCCGGGAAGCGACAUGACGAAUCGAUUUUUAGAAUUUACAAAACACGUUCUUCAGACAGAUUAGUACGCGCUAAUCCAACGCGCUAGUACAAGCAGCCUGGCGUGGUUGUGAUGUUGGUUUUGCCUCAGCUCUCCGCAGAUGGGUCGAUUGACCUCCUUCUGGCGUCGACGUACGGAACGGCUGUUUUUUGUGACCCCCAGCACACGCUCCAAUAUGAUGCUAUGACAUCGUUGUGACGCAACAGAGACACACAACCAUCUGGAGAUGGGGUUUGAUCCCAAAGAAACAUGAAACAAGCAGCCUGGGACUUUUCCUUUGUCCAUCCUGCACCUAGAAAGAGGCUCAUCAUGACAGCCACAUUAAGGGCCUGUCUACCGUGAACUACACAGAGUUCACAAUCUUGGAGUCUUUGCGUCAUUUGAAAUGAAUGGAUGAGAGGCUCACAAUAAAAACAAACGGCAUUUGA